RNAcentral lists this ribosomal RNA (490 nucleotides) under uncultured bacterium. RNAcentral describes it as "partial 16S ribosomal RNA". It matches the Rfam family "Bacterial small subunit ribosomal RNA", at positions 30 to 507 of the family's 1533-position model. The record is from RNAcentral.
AUUGAACGCUGGCGGCAGGCCUAACACAUGCAAGUCGAACGGUAACAGGAAGCAGCUUGCUGCUUUGCUGACGAGUGGCGGACGGGUGAGUAAUGUCUGGGAAACUGCCUGAUGGAGGGGGAUAACUACUGGAAACGGUAGCUAAUACCGCAUAACGUCGCAAGCCCAAAGAGGGGGACCUUAGGGCCUCUUGCCAUCGGAUGUGCCCAGAUGGGAUUAGCUAGUAGGUGGGGUAACGGCUCACCUAGGCGACGAUCCCUAGCUGGUCUGAGAGGAUGACCAGCCACACUGGAACUGAGACACGGUCCAGACUCCUACGGGAGGCAGCAGUGGGGAAUAUUGCACAAUGGGCGCAAGCCUGAUGCAGCCAUGCCGCGUGUAUGAAGAAGGCCUUCGGGUUGUAAAGUACUUUCAGCGGGGAGGAAGGGAGUAAAGUUAAUACCUUUGCUCAUUGACGUUACCCGCAGAAGAAGCACCGGCUAACUCCGUG